CUUAAAGUACUGCUAGCUGUAGAACUCCAGCUUCGGCCAGUCGCCCAGUCACACUGUCCUGUCCUGUCCUGUUACUGAACACUGUUCUAUGGUUAGUUUUGCAGGUUUGCAUCCAGCUGUGUGAUAUUCUGCUGUGCAAAUCCAUGCAAAACUGACUGUGGUAGUGAAAAGUCUGUAGAAAAAGUGAGGGAAAAUCAAACCCCUUUCUACACAGGUUGGGAUCGGUUGCAAUGCUGUGUUUCUGUAUGGUAUUGCACUUGUCCCGGCCUGUUGAGUUUGGUGGGGAUUGUGACCAGAAGACUUUGAAAAUUAAGUAUUGCUGAAGAUUGUGAUUUCCACUGUAAAAUGUUCGAGAGAUUUGAAAUGUUUAAAAGAACUUGGGUAGCUUAUGUAGAACAUGUACAACUUUUUGUUUCUUGAAGUUAAGUAUUGUCUUUUAUACUAAAACAUUUGAAAAGUUUUAGUUAGAUAUAAUUUGGCUGUCAGGUAUUCCAGUAUGAUUGUACAGGAAAUUUAUUAUAAAUGUAUGGCAAUCUGUAAAGUCAGAAUAUUCCUUUUUGUUUUCUUUGGACCUAGUGUUAAUCCAGGAUGCUUUAUUCAAUCAAAAAGUUAAUAAAUUAUGUCACUUAAGAAUAUUUAAAUGGCUAAAAAUACCGUUUAAAUCCUUAUGUGAAUUUUUUUUUAAAGCAUGGCUGGAGUGUUUCCAGUAACCAGAUACUAUUGUGUGAAUACAUGUGUUCUUGAUGUGCAGUGGUUCUAUAAGUGGUUCUAUACUAGUUUUUUUUGUUUGUUUUUUUGGCAGUUGUUAAUGAUUUAUGUCUUGCCAAGUGACCUAGGGACCUCAGACUGUUCUGCCUUGUGGGACCUAAAAAGUGGGAACGAAAAAGAUAAAGAACAAUAUAGAUGCUAAAUGUUGUGAUAAGUAUUUAUUUUGUGCACAUGCUUCCUUAAUACCAAGUGUGCUGCAGUGGAGUGAAAAUCUGAAAUUAGUUUUUCUCCAAAUCUGCAGUUAAUAUUUACUGAACUUUGGCAACAAUGAGUUUAUUCCAGGUUGGUGUGAUUUCUGUCCCUGGAGUGGAAUCUUAAGAAGUGAAGUUUAACUUUUUAUUUGACGUUUCUGCCAUUUCCCUUUUGUCCAGGAGUUUUGUCUUUGUUUAGACUAUAUUUUUUAUGUGUUUUAUUAAAAAUGGCUUGUCUUAGUAGAUUGAAAAGGACCAUUUGCUAAAAAUUGGACUUGAGAUCCAGGGACCCUUUAAGCUUUGCAAAAUACUGUAUUUUGGAGGAAGUUGCUAUUUCAAUAAUACAAAGUAAAGUUCAGUAACCUUAGUAAUUACACCACCUGAUAAAAUAGAUAACAUUUUUUAAAGUACAUUGGGUGAAGUCUUAAGAAAAGUUUUCAUCUCUAAUGUAUCUCUAAGAAAUUUUAAUUCUUGAAUAGACAGGUAAUUAUUUGACAGUUCUGGAGUUAAUUUCUAAGCUAGAUUUUUCAGAAAGAAAAAAGUCAAAAUAUAUAAUGGUUUAUUUAAAAUCUAAUAGUUGACCUGAAUUCUUGAACCUUUUGUAUUGAUGGAAAUGUAAUUGUUUCAGUUUGGCUAUUUAAUGAAAAACAUUGCUUUAAAUUUUUAAAAAUUCCAUGUUUUUGGUGCUUUGGAAAAAGGUAUGCUGUGGCAUUUGUGUCUGUUUUAAAAGCUUGAUUAUACUAGCACCAUUUUUUUAAAAAAUGGAACCUGUGAUGAGCCUGCUGAGGAUGGUUUCUUAUGCUAGCACAUAAGUCAGAUUUCAACGGAGUUUUAAAUGGUUAACUCCCUGGAUGCUGAACCUGUAUACUUAACUGUUCAGAACUUCCUUGGACUUGGAUUAAGAUUUAAUUCUAAUGAACAAGCUAAUAAAUGAAUAUGUUUAGUGUGGUUGGCAGUAUUGUGUAGAGUUUAGAGAUUUUGUUUCUGGUUAAGUGUACAACAUUUUACGUUGGAUCUGUUAAGAUUUUUUUCCCCUUGGGUAUGAUAAUAUAUACUAGCAAACAAUGUAAGUAUAAUUUAAAUGUAGCCAUCUUAAGAUACCAAUACUUGAACAAGUUGAUUACUGACUCAUCUGUAAUUAACCUGGGGAGAAAACAUCUUUGACCUGAGGCUUACCAGUGCUUUUUGGCUUUGACAGCCUGAAAACUUCUGAGAAAAAAAGGAACUUAAUGUGCUUUUGCAGGCUGUGCAUGUACAUGUCUUAUUUUUAGUCUGCAUAUAGAAGGCUAUCACUUAACAUUCUAUUUAACGCUGUUUAUAAAGUAUCAGACAUUCACUAAAAACUCUGGAGUCUUUGUUUUACAGGCAAGCCUGUCUUAAGCACAACAAACCAGACUUUGGGUUUUUCCUGUGCAUAAACUUGAAGAGUUCUUCAUACUGAUUCCUGACAAAUUUUGAACUGAAACUGCCUGGAGAAUAGUUUGGUGUACAUUAAAGUUUAUUGUAAAUCUAAUGAAAUACUGUUCUGUUAGUAACUGAGUAAUUGACUACUUUGUAGUUUGUCUAAUAUUGGAGGAUUUUGAGAACUCAGCUGAGCAGUAAAGGUAAGAAGAUCUCCGUAUACAAGGUUCAUUUUGGGUGUCUGACGGGAAGUAAAAGCAUGAGUUUCUAGAGUACUGUAUUCUUCGGCUUAGAGAUGUUUUAAUAGUUUACUCUUUUUUUUUUAAAGCUAUGUUAUAAGUACAUUUUUUUUUAAUUUAUUUAUUUAUUUGGUACUAGGGAUUGAACUUGGGUCCUUGCGCUUGCAGAGCAGGCUGCGGAACCAGUGAGCUAAAUCCCUGGCCCCUAUAGUUUAUUUCUACUCAGUCUGAACUAAUGUAAAUUUCUCAUUUGGUAGAUAAAACUCAUUGUAUUUACUGAGUUUUAAAAAAUUACUAGGAAAAUGCAUGUACUCUAUGGAUUUAAGACCCUAGGAAAUGUUGUCAAAGGCAUUUCCAAAUAACCUGAAUACAGAAGCACAGCACUUAGGGAUGCCUGAUUAUGAAUUUAGAAUUUGGUCAUGCUGUUUGAGUUAUUUUAGGGCAAUUAAUAAAAUACUCCAUUUGAAACUGUUUGUUUAAAAAUUACCCAUAAUGAGCAUAUUGGAAUAAAAAGGUUAUUUUUCUGAUGCUGUUUUUUUGUUUUGUUUUGUUCUUAUAAGAGUCUAAAAUUUAAUUGAGGAAGUGGGCAUAGGUACCAGAGUUAAUCUAUACCUAUUUAGUUAAAUCUAGUAAGGUAUCAAGUAAUUCUUAAGUUGACAAUUGAUCUGGAUUCCUAAUAUGUAACUAUUCGAUAAUGAAUGGCUCACUUGUUAGCUUAUUUUAAAUUUGUUGAAUGACAUAGAUGCUUCAAAUCUAGUCACUUGGGAUUUUAUUAAUAACCAUUAUAUUGGCACAUCUCCAUUUUGACUAGGAUCUUAUACAUGUUACUAAGGUGUUUCAGACCCUGUGGUACACUGAAGUUGAAGCCUAGCAGGGAAGCUCAAGGUUUGUGGAAUAAUUUAAAUGCUUUUGCUACUCAUUUGGUUCUAGGGUUGAAUGUUUUCUGUAUUUAGAACAAAUUGAACGAGAUGGUAUGUUCUAAGCAAGCUUCUAAGUUCAGCAGUUUUUAAACGUUGAAAAAAAGUCACAGUAAAUCCUUUGAAAAUAAGGUACUAGAUACAGCUUCAUGAAGUAUGCUGGUGUCCAGUACUUUAAAAAACAAGUAAAUGCCAACACAAAUGUAGAUUUAGUCAUUAUAGGCCAGUUAUUUAACAUAAAGAACAAAACAAAUGGUUGGUAUCCCUUAAAUGAUAAGUAAUUAGCUGAAUGAGCAUUGCUAAGACCAGAGACCUAAAUUUAGGGGUGUGUAUAUAUUUCCUAAGAGAAUUAGCACGUGCCCAUCGUGAUGCUUGUUUACUUGUGUCAACUUCAGUUUGCACAGAGUAAAAUACAUUGAAAGCUUGAAUUCCAAUAACCUGAAAGUGAAUUUUGUACAUAGUUGAGAUUUAACUCCAGGGAGAAUACCUUUGUUUCAGGCGUUAAGACUUCAGUGCAAGAAUAGAUGAAAAUUGGAAGCCUCUUGUAAGGUAGUUUAGGUAAUGUGUCACGUAGUUUGAUCCCUCAACACAAAAGUGCAUGGGUCAGGUUCACCAAAGACUUAAAACUAGAACUUUCAGAGUAAUUAUAAAAUUACUGGGGUACAGUUUUUAACUGUACUUGGGUGAUACAAUUGAUAAUUUGAUAGUUCACAAAAUAGACCUGGACUUUUCAGUCUAGGUAUGUUAGAAUCUUUGAGCAGGCUACUGAACAGACAGGUGUUCUGAGGAAUAUUUUGAUUUUGAUAUAUACUCAGAAUAUAAUCACUACCCUGAGUUGUCAGAAAUGGCACUGAAUGUCAGAGCAACACCUUAGAGUUUGUAGGGAUGUAAGAGACUAAAUAGUUCCAUAGGCAUUCACUCCUUGUUUUAUAGUUAGCUUAUUUUGCUUGCCAUUGCAAUUUUUGGCCAACUUCAAGUUCACGUUUGUUUCUGAAUCUGCAGACUUGCUCACUAUCCAACCGUAGGUAGUAGCUUUCCCCUUACUUGGCUCUCAUACACCACACAUAUAAUGUCUUUGUGUACUAUACAUAGAUUUCCUCAGGGGUUGUUUCAGAACAAGUAAGAGGGUGAAAGAUAUAGGCUACAUUUUCCAGGUAUUGGUCCUCCAGGAUUUGAAUUCCCCUCUAAUAAAUCUUUCAAAUCUAGCCUCAGAACACUUGAAGCAAAACUCCAGAGCUAUAACAAAGCAGCUACUUUAUCUAGGAAUUAUGCUUGGAAUUCUGUCUCAUUACAUUCAUUACUGCAACUCCUAAGGAAUCUCAGUCUAAGCAACACUUGAUUGAGAAUUCCAUGCUUAUUUUUUUAACCCUCAUAAGAAUUUUGUAAUCUCUAAAAUUGUAAGUUAUGCAGUUUCUGCCAUGUCCGAAAUAUUACUAGUGUGUAGAAUGCUUAAACCUUCAAUAGGGCCCAUGAAUGAAUUUCCUAGAAUGAGAGGUUGAGGGGAAGGAAGCAGCAAAAGUGAGAUCAGAUUCUAAUAUAUGUUUGACUUUAUGCAUGUGUAAUCAUCUUGGGGUACAUUUGACAACUUGAAGUAAUUAGUGUUAGCAGGGUUCUUGGCUUAAGUAAGUAGAAUUUAGAGUAAACAUUAAUCCUUCAGCAAAGAUAAAAGAAAGUUUCCUAAAGGUAGAAGGGUCAACAAAGAAAAUCUGAUAAUUCAAAUUAUGUGGGAAUGUAAUGGUGCUCUCUUGGGAAUACUUACCUCCUAAAUCUCACAACGCAACUGACAACAGUGAGGGCACCAAAAAUUCUGUACUUGUACAAAGAAAGGUGAAAAUACUGUACUGAGAGGCAGCAGUUAGUUUAGUAAAGUUAGUAGUUCUCAACAUGAUUAUGUUACCUGAAGUACAGGCUUUUGUUUUUUAAAUCAUGGUUCUUUGUGCUACAGUUUCAAGCUCCUGUUUUUGGUUCAGCAAGCAGUUUAACAUUUCCAUUUCCCUUGUCUAGUACAUUUACAUUUAGAAUAUCAAUACUAACCAAAACUCUUAAUUUUCCAAUAGGUUUCACUCCAAGCAGAAUUUACACAGAAGCUCUACUCUGGUGUAUGAUUAAAUUUUGAGCUGAUUGUUUGGCAAAGUUAUAUAGUAAACCAGUAACACUUGAGACAGGCUGUGUAUGUAUUAUGAGAGAAGAAUGAUAAAGGAUUGAGGAGUCCUGCUGUCACCUCAUAUUACAGAAAAUAAAGACAAGUUGAUAGGCUAGUUGAGGUCUCAGAACUAUACAUAUAUACACAUAUGCCUUAGCACAGUAGGUCUAGUCUGUGGGCUCCAAGAAUAUGUAAAUCCCAUUGUAAAUAUUCUGAGUUGCCACCUGAUAAUUGCCUAAUGGGUCGAGGAGUUUUAAGCAACUACUUAAGGAGUCUUAUUAGAGUUUAAUGUCAGGUUCUGGGUUCAAGUAUCAGUAGCCCCUGUUGGGGCAGUUUUAGUAUUCGACCCCCCAAAUUGUAAGCUCAGCUAGGCUUUUCCAUCGUGGUCAGUGGUGGCUGUCAUGAUUAUCUGGUUCACAUCAGCUGAAAGACCUUCCUUCAAAACAAAAUUUCAUCUCCACUCUGCUUGAACAAAUGUAGAUCUCUGGCCUACCAGAAGUAAGCCUGUGGGGGAGAGGUAAGAUCAAGGUUAGGCCUAAGUCUUAUGAUAAUGACUGACAGGUCCCCUUCCCCUCCCUGAAGCACACAGGAUACACAGGCAGAGUGAUGGUGCAGUUAGUAAGAGAUAAGAAUGCCCUAAGGGUUGAGGAAUAGCACCUUGGUUGACUAGACAGCAAAAAUGGAUUCUCAGAAUUGCAGGAGGGGGUUGAGAAGGUAGCCGCUGAGGCAAGCAACCAGGCUGCAGUGGUGUUCACCUGCUGUUGCUAGGUUCUCAGCUGUAAUGCUACUUCCUCAAAAAGGCCCUCCCUGAGUACCAGCCUUAUCUGAGUACCUGCCAUUUUUAUUUGGUGCACCAAGUAAAACUUUAAGUUGUAUCAAUGAUGUUUGUAUCAUUUUAUUGCCUAUUAUAUUUCAUAGUCCCACUGUAGUUAAUUACCAUAAAUUUAAACCUUAAGUUAAUGAAUUAAGGAAAGUUUUUUCAACAGUCCGUGGAAGGGGACAGAACACAAAGUGACUGGCUUAAGAAUUUUCCUCUGCAGUGCCAGUUUAAGAGGCUUGAAAAAAUGAUUGUAAGUCAAAUAUCCAGUUGCCAUUCUCUGAGUAAAAUGAUUUGCUCAGAACAGAAGGGGUGAUAGUAUACUUCUCACAUUCUCAUUCCAGGAAAAAUGUCUAGAAGUACGUAAGUCAACUAGCAGGUUAAGUCCAGAGAGGGGAAACUGAAAUAAGUGCAACCAGUAGGACGUGUGAACACUGAAGUGAAAUGAAGAUAGCAUCUGCAGAGUCUAAGGCAGUGUUUUUUUAAGUCUCAAAAUUAGCUUAAUCUGGGGCAUGAUCCUUUAGAGAAUAAAUAACACUAUUUUUUGGUUAAGAGAACAAAUGGUUUGAAUGUUUAUUUCAAAGGAAUUAGAAUUAUAUAUAUAUACUAGGACAUCAGUAGAAAAAAGGUACAUCACAAAACAGGAAAUAAGCAUUUUAAUUGAAGUUAAGCACAGAAGUUGUGUUUAUAAAUUAGUUUCUGUUUUAACUCAAGACAGUUAUACUCAAGUUCCAUAACAUACAGACAUUUUUGGCCAUUAGGAAUGUAGAGAUGAUCAAAGUCCUUGACUUUACCUUGAAAUUCUCUGGCCCAAUAGCAAGAUCAUCUGCUAAAUGCCAGAUCUUUGAAAAUGAGGAAGACAUAGUGUAUUCUUUCAAAUGAUUAAGCCUUCAUUAAGUACUUGUUGAAUGAAUUGAAGGUUUCUUUUAAAUAUGACUUGGCCAUUAAUAGAUUCUUUGAUGUAUUGCAGUAGGUAUAUAUCUGUUAACAUUUCUCACCUGAUGCCGAGUUUUGUCCAGACAGCUUGCCUUGGUGAAAAGAACAGAAAAAGAUUGUGUGUGGCAGGGACUGAGGGGCAGUGAAUAUAAAGAAAAUGCUAUCUCUGCACAUUUGUAUGUGAUGUGUAAGGAUGACAGGAGUGGCUGAAUGGGGCAGGACAGUGAUCUGGUUAAUUCUGAGAACUAGUGUGGUAAGAGAAUUCAGAACAAAUCUCAAGAAUAACAAACCUGCCUUUUAAGUAAGGAAGUGGGAAACCAGACCAUGACUUCAGGACUGCCAUUCUCCCAGAUCACUAGUCUUAGUGAUGGCAAACCUUUUCGAGCUUUCCAUGAUUGAUAAUAGUGGGCUACAGCAUGUUUGCCAUCAGUUCGCCACUACUGCCCUAUUCUAAAGGCUAUGUGUCCUCAAGGAUGUUGCAGGUAAUUUUGCGGUAAGCCUUACUAGAAUUAGUGAAAUGAAGUGGUAACUGACACUAAAUGACAGCUUACAAAGUACUACUGGAGCUCAGACAGGGAAAUGACUAAUGCAGUAAGUACUGUGUGCAUUUGGUACCCAUUACAACACACAAGUAAUUAAAAGGGACUUGUUCUCUAAAAGCGUAUGUAAAUAUAGUAAUUAGGUCUCUUUUUUUUUGAUAGUUUGGUUGUAGUGUGUUGAUCCUUGCUUAAUAUGAGGAUUCUAAUAUUGAACGUUUUUUUCCCAGCCAAAAAUGAAAUGUGCAAGUUACUACCAAGUGAAGCCAUUCAUAGUUGAUAUGACACUGCUAGUGAGUAAAUUCCUGUAUGGGUUUAUUUAUUUAUUUGAUUUGGUUUGGUUUUGCUUAUUUAGUAUUUCAGACAUCUUACUGCUAUAGAAAUGCUAUGCCUUCUUAAACUGAUGGAAUAUUAGAAUCAAAGACCUAAACACAUUUUAUUCGUUUUAAAGACCUGUGUGAUCCUGCUGAUGUUUAAAGCCAACUGUAAUAUUUUAAUCAUAGGUUUGUUUCCCAAUGGAUGCCAUUCAGAAGUAAUUUUCAUUUUUUGAAUAGGGUUAUUUGUAUUCAUUUGGUUUAUUAAAAAAAUUAAGGGACAGCAAUAUAUUUAGCAGUCAUGUAAUUCAGCUUUAAAUUACAGGUUUCUUACACAUAUCCAGUUCUGGAUAAUGAUAGGAUCUAGAAAAAAGGAAGCACUGGUGAACUUGAAAAAAAAAUUACCAGGAAAAUGCUAAAAUCAUACUUUGAAAAUACAGUGAGGUUAUGUGGGCAAUUAAUUAAAUGUUAUAUAAUGCCACCAUUUUAAACAGCUGCAAAUGACUUAGUUAUCUUUGCUCAUAAAAUAACAAUGGUAGCUAUCUACAGCACAUGAUACUAAAGUAAGAUGCUGAGGAAAAUUCCAAGAUUAGGUGGGUUUUUACACAUUUGCCAUGUUGCAAUAGUCUUAAGUGCUGCUGAUGCUAUACUUUCUUAAUCUCAUCAAAUAAUUGGGACAAGUUUGAGGAAAUCAAUCUCUACUAAAUAGUUAACCAUAAAGUAUAUUUGUAUGAGCAAACAAAAUGCUUUCAAAAUGUUGCACUUUUGAAACUGUUUGAAUCUUCUCUGUUGAUCCGACGGCUUUGUUUGCAAAGGUAGACUGAAGUGGAGUUAAGCAAUUGGUGAGCACAUUUGAACACUACAGAUGACUAUACAGGAUAAAAUGAAUAAAGUGAUUUUUAGAAAAUUUACUUAAUGACAGCAGACCUUUACUCUUCUUAGUUCCCCAUGAGUUUCUAGUCGAGUAAUUGUUGUAGUUAGUCUUACAUAUUUGCUUGCUCUAGUUCUCCUGUUCUGUUUCCUCCUCCCCCAAAAGCUUUUUCCCCCCUCUAUUGAUCUACUAUAUUUAUUGUCAGUGAUAUGCAUGUGGUAAGGAUUUUUGUCUAGUAAUUAUUAACCCUAUCCUUACACAAGUAUUUGUAUCAAGGUAAUCAGAAUAUGUUUUUAGUUUCUGUUGGAUACUUUUUACAUAUAUGGAAAACUAAGGUACAAGGGUAAUUAUUUUUUUAAAUGGUAUAGUUUGAAACAAGUGAUGAAGGCCACAUUAUUUUUUCACAGAUUCAUGAAUUUACUACCACCUGAACUUACCUGCCUGUUCACAGGGCCACAAUCUUAAUCAGAACCUUAUGUUUCCUUGUCUCAAUUCACAGUGCCUGUGGUUCCCAUGUUGUCUACUGUCUUGAAACCAUCUUAGUCUGAGAAGAAUUUUUCCUUGCCCAAGGAACAAAGUAAAGUUGUACAUAGCAAUACAUUGAGACAUUAAAAGAUUUUACCCAGUUCUCUUUACUUCCUGUGUACUUUUUUUCUGUCAGCUCUUACUCAUUCUCAUAAGUGGAAAAGAAGGAAGUUUUGCAAAAUAUCCCUUGCAGGGACGUGAAAAGAUGUGCAUAAACAAUAUAGUAAACUUAAAAGAUUGCAUAAGGAUUUGGGUAUCCCUGGAAAUCAUGGCUUGAAAAGAUCUUCAUCAUGAACAGGCAACAACUUAGUAGUGAAUUUGUAACUUGAUGUCCAAAGAUGAAAAAUGUUCCUUUGUGUGCAGAAAUUCAUUGUAGCUUCAUGUGUACAAGAUGUUGCAGAUGGAGGACAAUAGGAAAGGGCUGGAAGAGUUUGGUUUAGAAUCAUUUUGUAUAGCAAGUGGGUUAGAAAAGAGAAAGUGGGGGCUGGGAAUUAGCUCUAUUGGCUGCCCAUGAUGGAGAUUCUGAGUUCAAUUCCAAGCUGUGGGCCCCCCCCCCAAAAAAAAAGUAGUUAUGGGGGGAAGGAGUGAAAUGGAAUUAAGAGACUGUCUUAGUGGCUGAGCUCACAAGAGACAAAAGACCAUGGCUGAUUCCCAGUAAUAGGGUGUGAGUAUUGCUAAAAAGCAGUUGUGCCUCCUCCUCUGGACCUUGACAGGUACCUUAGUCCUGACUUGGUGAAAACAAAUAACAGAUUAUUCUGCUCUGCUGCAAAACUUAGAAGAAUGGGGUUUUUUUUAUAAUCUUAAAAGUCAUUUUGAAUGGCUUGAGUAAUUUUGUUACAGAAGCUGUCAUGUAGGACUUGUGUUAACUAAAGUUAAUAUGGUAGAUUACAAUUAUUUUCAAUCACUGUAUAUUAAUUUUAUCUUAACAUUUCAUCUUAACAUUAACAUCUCUAUGAGAUAUUCCCAAGUUGGGGAAGCAGGCGGGAAAGUAUACAGGUGAUCAAAUUGACAGGGGUAAAUGAGGCAGCCAAUGUGAACAUUUAGGAGGUCUGGCCAGGUGGGAUGAUGCAUGCUUGUAAUCCCAGUUAUCAGAAGGCUAAGGCAGGAGGAUUGCCCUGAGUUCAAGGCCAAGCUGAACUGCACAGUGAGACCCUGUGUCAAAAAGUCAAAAUCUAGGAAAUCUGGUUCAGGAACCAGUUUUCUUAACUGCUAUGCUGCCUUCUAGGCCAGCUUUCAUUAUAUGUUAGCAUAGUGGGAAUGUAAAAUGAUGUUACCACUGAGCAGAAAUAUUUGGGGGGUUUUAAUAUCUGAAUUUACCUAAAAAUACAAAUUCCAUUUGAUCCAGCUAUACACUACUUAUGAAUAUCUUCCCAAAAGAUUUAACCAUAAUUCUAAAUGAAAUCAGACACACAAGACUUAAAUAUCACAAUUUCUCAUAUGAGAAAUAGUAUAAGGAGCAAAGUAAAGAUAGUAGGGAAAACUAAGUUUAUACCUUUUCUCAGAUUUUGUGGGAUAAAUCACAUUUCUGUUCCAAUAAAAAGUUUAUAAAAAUUUCAGAAAGCUUUACCCUAAUAUACUCUCACCAGAAAGAGAGGUAUGCAAAGAAGUCACAACGUUAGUUCUUGAGUGGUAUUUUCAGUGAUUUUUUUCCUGUAAUUUCACUUUUAGUUUCAAACAAGUUCUUUUAAAAUAAAAAUUCUGUGUUGGUUUUUUACGUUAAAAUCAGUCAUCUAGUCACUUUUUAGAGAAGAUGUAUUUCAAAAUGAUUGAGAAAAUGUCAGUAAAUCAACAUUCUAUUAGAUGUAAUUAAAUAAUUAUUUUCAGAGACAGCCUAGAGAACUGGGAUAUUGAGUAAUUACAUAUUGCUAAGGAUGCAGCAAUGCCAGUAUUGUCAGGAAGCCUAAAAAUGGAGUGAUGAGCUUCCUAACGCAUUUCAUUGUGUUAGCAUUAGGAUCUAAGAAAUACUUUUAAAAUGUAAUGAUACAACCUCACCUAUGACAGAUGUGAAACAAUACAUAAUGCAAAUAUCUCAACAAAUUAGCAAAAUAGGUGUCAUCACUGUGACUUAGCUCUGCUUUGGUAAAUUAAUAGACUCGAGUGAAAUAGAACACAAAUUUUUGGCAUAACUUGGAAAAGUGUAGGCAAAAUUAUCAAUAUUAGCAUUCAAAAUAGUUGUCUGCGAUAAUUUUUAGAAAAAUUACUAGUAAGACUUCUGUGAGGUAAUUUAACACAUUAUGAAAUGAUUUUCCUAGAUACAAACAAGUUGCAAAACAAAAAUUGUAAAAUAGUUAACAGUGAAAAACAUCUAGAAAAAAAUUCAGAGACACUGAGAGUGAAAGGUAGAAAUGCUUUCCAAAAUUGCCUAGGAAUUGAAAGAUGGAGGGUCAUUUUUUCCCAUGCCUUUGUGAGGUUAACCACCCCAAACUGGGUAGCAUAUGUAUAUUGAUACCUAUAGGCUUCCUUAGCCAAGGAUACAAUACAGAUACAACAAGGGAUGUUGUGUGGUGGUUUAUAUUGCUGGUCAGUGCAUAGAAUCUGUUGCCUCAGAAGUGACAAGGUGGGAUCAAGGAGAUUUAAAAUGGUGCACAAAAGGUGUCAAAUGGAACGCAGUUCCUGCACUUAUGCUUGUGUCUUGCAUUAAUCCCAGCUUAAUCACAAAAGUGCCCAUCAAAGCUGUUGCCGGGCAGAAUCAUGACACUGUAAAAAAGAAUUAGCUGCUCCUCCAGCUUUUGUCAUUGAUACUCAGCCUUUCCUUCACCAUCCAUUCCUUCUAGAUUCCUAGAUCUCUGCCUUACUAGCAUUUCUGUUUCAGUUACUGAUAGGUGGUACUACCUGGACACUGAAACUUGAGACGGGCUCCUUGCCAUAUACUUUCUGGCCUUCCGCUACUCCAGUUUUUCAUUAAGUGAGCAUAAAAAGUAUAGAUGUAGCCUGGUGAGUCCCCUGAGCUCAGUAAAAACUGCCUCUUUUUAUACCUGUUACUCUAGCUCAUGGUUAUCAGGACAAGUCGUAGUCACCAUAACAGUACCACCUCCCACUCUUAAUUGUUCCUUCAUGAAGGAGGCCAAAAUUAUUAGGUGGUAAUUGUAGCAUCAAAUUAAUUUCAUCAAGUUCUUUGCAUACUCAUAAUGAAACCAUUUCUUGUCCCCUACUUACAGACCAGGACCUCAGAUACGGAAGACCUAAAGUUUCAGAGCUAGGGAGUACAGAUUCUGCAAAUAGAUCGCAAGUAAUGGUUUGAGAGAUUCUCGGACUGAGCAGUUACUGGAUCCUCCAGCUCUUGAGCACACAGAUGGCCAUCAUGGGCUUUCACUUCUGAUCCUUCUUGUUUUAACACAGAUGUAUGCUGCUUGUGAACCAGUUUUGAACAUGUAGUCAAGGAGAGACUUUGGGAGUGGUUGAAGAACCCACAUAGAAAACCUGGGUUGCUGAAUGUGCCCUUGUGAAGCAGAGACUCCUGGAUUGCUUGCUUGCUUCUCGAAUGAUGUGUAAAAGAAUAAUAAAACUCCUCACUUUUUGUGUGUGUGUGGUUUAUUUUUUUUUGAGCUAGUCUGUUCCUGGUCUUUUUGUUACAUCAGCUAACCUGUUCUCUAACACUGUUGUUGUCACAUUUGUUUCAAAUGAUACGUAUUUCUUUCAAAUCUGACAUGAACUUUUACAGUGUUUCUUUCCCUUGAGCCUUCUUCUACCAUUUUUUUUUCCAGGCAGAAGUGUUUGCAGAAAUCUUUGUCUUCAUCUCAUUACUUUUUACUGUCACUGCCAGCAGGCAGAGCCCAUAACAUAAAUGUAAAAUUGUGUUCAGUAUAUGUUCCCUUGAGUUUGUAAUUAUAAUGCAUUCCAGGGUGCACCUAAAUAAGAAUCUGCUUUUCCAACCUAAGAUUGCUUUUGGUGCCAGUCACACAGUAAAAUAUACACACAGGCAAUAGCUGUAGUAACUAACACUAAAUGAGGCUGAGCAUAGUAUAAAACAUUAUCCGUUUUCAUUGCUAAUGAUCUGGGGAGAAUUGAGAUAAUAUGGAGGCCCUAAGGGUAGAAUGGGAGAAUUCUAAGAUUUGGAGGUGUACAAAAUACUUCACAAAAUAGUAUUUUUCUUCAUCUUCAGAAGCAGCAAGUGAUUAUGAUUUAUAUUAA
Heterocephalus glaber (naked mole-rat) is the source of this 13789-nucleotide non-coding RNA. NCBI's taxonomy places the organism in Eukaryota, Metazoa, Chordata, Mammalia, Rodentia, Bathyergidae. The record is from RefSeq and is a predicted model, not a curated record.